AUGUACCAUUUUUUGGUCAGAAUCUUUACAGUAAUGUCUAUGUUGGAUUCUCCGGUCGAAAUACGGGAAAACUCCAUCAAAGUCUUUAUGGAAACGGAGUUUUGCGAAUUCUCCCCGGAACUGGAAGAUCAUUUCGAGAUCUUCGAGCAUAUUCGAGGGUUCAAUGUGACUAUUGUCACUUCGGCCAAUACAAAAGAUGAGACUUUACUACUGUGGAGCGGCUUUUUGCUAAAAGAUGAGGGGGAAACUAAGUAA
RNAcentral lists this ribosomal RNA (255 nucleotides) under Triticum aestivum (bread wheat). Its description in RNAcentral is "partial small subunit ribosomal RNA". The record is from RNAcentral. Lineage: Eukaryota; Viridiplantae; Streptophyta; Magnoliopsida; Poales; Poaceae.